This 932-nucleotide long non-coding RNA is filed under the name Mytilus galloprovincialis (Mediterranean mussel). The record is from RNAcentral. Lineage: Eukaryota; Metazoa; Mollusca; Bivalvia; Mytilida; Mytilidae.
AGAAACGAAAAUUUCGAACAGAAUCAUUUAGCAUUAAAUAAACAUGAUGAAUAAAAAAACCGGGCAUAUUUUUUUGGGGCGGGGUUUUGCAUGUGUGACUGGAAUGUCAACUUGUUUCGCCGAACUGAUAUAUUUAAUACCUUUUUUCAAGACCAUACUGCAAGCAGCUGCUCAGUGGCCGGGUUGUGGCCUUUAUGUCUCCAUUUGUCGAUCGUCAUUCAUAAACUCGUUGUCAUUUUAGACUUAUUCGUAGCCUUUGGUUAAUUUGGAACCCCUCACUUCCCUUAAUUUUGUUGGUUGAAACAUUUGGAUAAAAAUUGCUUGUUUGUCUUUCUUAAAUCGUGUCGGUCUUGUUGUAAAUUUCAUCGAAAAGCCCGGCGUAUAUCUGGUUUACAACAAGAAAUCUGUGAGGUUAUUCUAACUUAACAUACAACAAACGAGAGUUUUCCAUGUCUAUUUUUUACUGACAAUUCCCACAUGUAAUUAUAUAUCAGUACAUAGCUUUGGUUCCAUACUAUCAUUUUAUGAAAGACAAUUAAUAGGGAGAAUACAGCAUAAAAAUUUAAAAUGUCCAACCCUUACACUUUACACCAACUUUAAAAUAUACAUGCCCAAAUAGGGAACCAUUAAAAAUAUGCAUUUUACACUUAUUUUAUGUUUUUUAGCCCCAAAAAGUCCCAUUUUUCUUCAAAAAAUCUUUAAAAAACUUCGCUCCACCCCCUUUCUAAAAUUCUGGAUCCGCCCCUGCCUGUGACCGUGUCCAACAGUUGUCAGUGAAUUAGAAAUUUUACUAUAAAUCUGACACAAGUUCAGUUAAGAAUCUGUGACAAUUUGGAUUUUCCUUGUAAUAUUCUUAGGAAAUGUCCUAUAAAUAUAAAAAAAGAAGAUGUGGUAUGAUUGCUAAUGAGACAACUAUCCACAAGAGACCAAAA